AAGUGUGAUGAUUGGAGGUGUGCGGGUUCGAGCGCUGUACAACUACACCGGAGAGGAGCCUGAUGAGCUCUCCUUCAAAUCAGGUGAAGAGUUCCUCAAGGUGGAGGACGAGGAUGACCAGGGCUGGUGCUGGGGCGUGAAGGAGGGCGGAGCCGAAGGGUUUUAUCCAGCAAAUUACGUCCUGCCUGUCAAGUGACAUCAUCAAUCACAGCUGAGGCACAACAGUGGUUAUUUACAGUUAUGAGAAGCACACACAGUGGCAGUGAAGAUGUGUCUGAAUGUCAUUGCAUCUCAGAGUGCUGUAAGUGCAUGCUGAAAGAGAAACUACACUUCAUUAACUGCAAAGAAAGUCAUGCAAGACUGAAAGAGUAUUAUGUGAUCAACUGUUUUAUUUACAUCUGAACAUUAUUUUUAUGCAGUGCUCCUCUCAGAAUUAACUUUUCUUCUGACUUUUUCAUCAUAUUGUCAUGUAAGAGUUUACUUUUUUGGCUUGAACGUGUGUUUGUGUUACGUUUUCACUAUUUAUUGUCCAAUUGCAAUGACAUUCAGACAUUUUCACAUAUCAAAAUCUUUUUGGUGGCAAACAAUUUCAGUGCCCAAAAAAUUAAAAAGAUCUAACUAAUAUUUCGAUAGACCAAAAUAAUAAAAAGAGUUGAAAUUCUG
Danio rerio (zebrafish) is the source of this 663-nucleotide non-coding RNA. Lineage: Eukaryota; Metazoa; Chordata; Actinopteri; Cypriniformes; Danionidae. The record is from Ensembl.